Molecule: ribosomal RNA, 251 nt
Filed under: uncultured bacterium
Lineage: Bacteria
Description: partial 16S ribosomal RNA
Rfam family: Bacterial small subunit ribosomal RNA
Source: RNAcentral
UACGUAGGGUGCGAGCGUUAAUCGGAAUUACUGGGCGUAAGCGUGCGUAGGCGGUUCGUUAAGUCUGUCGUGAAAGCCCUGGGCUCAACCUGGGAAUUGCGAUGGAUACUGGCGAGCUAGAGUACGGUAGAGGAUGGUGGAAUUCCCGGUGUAGCGGUGAAUGCGCAGAUAUCGGGAGGAACACCAGUAGCGAAGGCGGCACUCUGGGCCGGAACUGACGCUGAGGAGCGAAAGCGUGGGGAGCGAACAGG